Molecule: ribosomal RNA, 1325 nt
Filed under: Nocardia sp. 4HB-9
Lineage: Bacteria; Bacillati; Actinomycetota; Actinomycetes; Mycobacteriales; Nocardiaceae
Description: bacterial SSU rRNA
Rfam family: Bacterial small subunit ribosomal RNA
Source: RNAcentral
AGCGGCGAACGGGUGAGUAACACGUGGGUGAUCUGCCUUGCACUUCGGGAUAAGCCUGGGAAACUGGGUCUAAUACCGGAUAUGACCUNGGAAUGCAUGUUCUGGGGUGGAAAGAUUUAUCGGUGCGAGAUGGGCCCGCGGCCUAUCAGCUUGUUGGUGAGGUAACGGCUCACCAAGGCGACGACGGGUAGCCGACCUGAGAGGGUGACCGGCCACACUGGGACUGAGACACGGCCCAGACUCCUACGGGAGGCAGCAGUGGGGAAUAUUGCACAAUGGGCGCAAGCCUGAUGCAGCGACGCCGCGUGCGGGAUGACGGCCUUCGGGUUGUAAACCGCUUUUGACAGGGACGAAGCGCAAGUGACUGUACCUGUAGAAUAAGGACCGGCCAACUACGUGCCAGCAGCCGCGGUAAUACGUAGGGUCCGAGCGUUGUCCGGAAUUACUGGGCGUAAAGAGCUUGUAGGCGGUUCGUCGCGUCGUUUGUGAAAACUUGGGGCUCAACCUUAAGCUUGCAGGCGAUACGGGCGGACUAGAGUACUUCAGGGGAGACUGGAAUUCCUGGUGUAGCGGUGAAAUGCGCAGAUAUCAGGAGGAACACCGGUGGCGAAGGCGGGUCUCUGGGAAGUAACUGACGCUGAGAAGCGAAAGCAUGGGUAGCAAACAGGAUUAGAUACCCUGGUAGUCCAUGCCGUAAACGGUGGGUACUAGGUGUGGGGCUCCUUCCACGGACUCCGUGCCGUAGCUAACGCAUUAAGUACCCCGCCUGGGGAGUACGGCCGCAAGGCUAAAACUCAAAGAAAUUGACGGGGGCCCGCACAAGCGGCGGAGCAUGUGGAUUAAUUCGAUGCAACGCGAAGAACCUUACCUGGGUUUGACAUACACCGGAAACCUGCAGAGAUGUAGGCCCCCUUGUGGUCGGUGUACAGGUGGUGCAUGGCUGUCGUCAGCUCGUGUCGUGAGAUGUUGGGUUAAGUCCCGCAACGAGCGCAACCCUUAUCUUAUGUUGCCAGCGCGUAAUGGCGGGGACUCGUGAGAGACUGCCGGGGUCAACUCGGAGGAAGGUGGGGACGACGUCAAGUCAUCAUGCCCCUUAUGUCCAGGGCUUCACACAUGCUACAAUGGCCGGUACAGAGGGCUGCGAUACCGCGAGGUGGAGCGAAUCCCUUAAAGCCGGUCUCAGUUCGGAUCGGGGUCUGCAACUCGACCCCGUGAAGUUGGAGUCGCUAGUAAUCGCAGAUCAGCAACGCUGCGGUGAAUACGUUCCCGGGCCUUGUACACACCGCCCGUCACGUCAUGAAAGUCGGUAACACCCGAAGCCGGUG